Molecule: ribosomal RNA, 1625 nt
Filed under: Klebsiella aerogenes
Lineage: Bacteria; Pseudomonadati; Pseudomonadota; Gammaproteobacteria; Enterobacterales; Enterobacteriaceae
Description: bacterial LSU rRNA
Rfam family: Bacterial large subunit ribosomal RNA
Source: RNAcentral
AAAAGCCCGCACGCCGGAAGACCAAGGGUUCCUGUCCAACGUUAAUCGGGGCAGGGUGAGUCGACCCCUAAGGCGAGGCCGAAAGGCGUAGUCGAUGGGAAACAGGUUAAUAUUCCUGUACUUGGUGUUACUGCGAAGGGGGGACGGAGAAGGCUAUGUUAGCCGGGCGACGGUUGUCCCGGUUUAAGCAUGUAGGCGGAGGUUCCAGGUAAAUCCGGUACCUUUUUAACGCUGAGGUGUGAUGACGAGGCACUACGGUGCUGAAGUAACAAAUGCCCUGCUUCCAGGAAAAGCCUCUAAGCAUCAGGUAACAUUAAAUCGUACCCCAAACCGACACAGGUGGUCAGGUAGAGAAUACCAAGGCGCUUGAGAGAACUCGGGUGAAGGAACUAGGCAAAAUGGUGCCGUAACUUCGGGAGAAGGCACGCUGAUAUGUAGGUGAAGCCCCUGCGGGUGGAGCUGAAAUCAGUCGAAGAUACCAGCUGGCUGCAACUGUUUAUUAAAAACACAGCACUGUGCAAACACGAAAGUGGACGUAUACGGUGUGACGCCUGCCCGGUGCCGGAAGGUUAAUUGAUGGGGUUAUCCGUAAGGAGAAGCUCUUGAUCGAAGCCCCGGUAAACGGCGGCCGUAACUAUAACGGUCCUAAGGUAGCGAAAUUCCUUGUCGGGUAAGUUCCGACCUGCACGAAUGGCGUAAUGAUGGCCAGGCUGUCUCCACCCGAGACUCAGUGAAAUUGAACUCGCUGUGAAGAUGCAGUGUACCCGCGGCAAGACGGAAAGACCCCGUGAACCUUUACUAUAGCUUGACACUGAACAUUGAGCCUUGAUGUGUAGGAUAGGUGGGAGGCUUUGAAGCGUGGACGCCAGUCUGCGUGGAGCCAACCUUGAAAUACCACCCUUUAAUGUUUGAUGUUCUAACGUUGGCCCCUUAUCGGGGUUGCGGACAGUGUCUGGUGGGUAGUUUGACUGGGGCGGUCUCCUCCCAAAGAGUAACGGAGGAGCACGAAGGUUAGCUAAUCCUGGUCGGACAUCAGGAGGUUAGUGCAAUGGCAUAAGCUAGCUUGACUGCGAGCGUGACGGCGCGAGCAGGUGCGAAAGCAGGUCAUAGUGAUCCGGUGGUUCUGAAUGGAAGGGCCAUCGCUCAACGGAUAAAAGGUACUCCGGGGAUAACAGGCUGAUACCGCCCAAGAGUUCAUAUCGACGGCGGUGUUUGGCACCUCGAUGUCGGCUCAUCACAUCCUGGGGCUGAAGUAGGUCCCAAGGGUAUGGCUGUUCGCCAUUUAAAGUGGUACGCGAGCUGGGUUUAGAACGUCGUGAGACAGUUCGGUCCCUAUCUGCCGUGGGCGCUGGAGAAUUGAGGGGGGCUGCUCCUAGUACGAGAGGACCGGAGUGGACGCAUCACUGGUGUUCGGGUUGUCAUGCCAAUGGCAUUGCCCGGUAGCUAAAUGCGGAAGAGAUAAGUGCUGAAAGCAUCUAAGCACGAAACUUGCCCCGAGAUGAGUUCUCCCUGAGACUUUAAGUCUCCUGAAGGAACGUUAAAGACGAUGACGUUGAUAGGUCGGGUGUGUAAGCGUAGCGAUACGUUGAGCUAACCGAUACUAAUGAACCGUGAGGCUUAACCUU